UAAAGAGGUACUGGGAGCAGUGCCUUAAAGAAGUACUGGAAACGGGAAGUUUUCUGAAUCAGGGUAAUAUGGGGCAGAAUUUGUCUACUGAGAAAAAAACAUCAUGUGCCGUUGCUUAAAGUUUUGUUGAAACAAACUGGUGCUCAGGUUAGUUCUCAGACAUUAACUAAGCUGCUGCAGGACGUUAUUACACAUAACCCAUGGUUUCUACAGGCAGGCACCCUUGAUGUGGAAAAUUGGGACAGAGCAGGAGAAGGAUUAAAAUGGGCUCAUCAAAAAGGUCUUAAAAUUGAUCCUUCUGUUUUCUCCGCUUGGAGUUUAGUUCAUACUGUACUUCUGCCAUUAUCUCCUUAUUAUUCUGUGGGACAGCAGGCUGAAUCUAAAAAUCUGAAAGGAUCUGUUGUCCCACUCACAGCUCCAACUGAAAAUAAAAAACAGGAGAGGGAGGAUAAAAAUUGGCUUAUACCACCUCCUCCAGUUACAGAAACAUCUGUACCACCUCCUUUGGUAGCAGAAAUAGAGACCCCAAUACAAAGAAUUUUAUGCUCUGCUGCCAUAGCUGGAGAGCCCUUAGACCUUGCACUUUUCCUAUUUCCAUUAGGCCUGCUCCAAACAAUCCACAGCAGGUUAUUCAUGAACACACCCCACUAGAGUUUAAGUUGUUGAAGGAAUUAAAAGCAAGAGCGGUGAAUAAUGGCGUACAGAGCCCAUUGACCUUAGGAUUGCUAGAAUCUGUGUUUGGUGCUAUGCGUCUUUUACCCUUUGAUGUGAAACACUUGGCACAAACUUGUUUGUCCGCUAGUGCAUAUCUGACAUGGAAUUUAAAUUGGCAAGAAAUGUGUGCAGACCAGGCUAAACAGAACCGUGUUGCUGGACACGGAGACAUUACAGAGGAUAUGCUAUUAGGUAAUGGCCCUUACUCAGACCUGGAAAGUCAAAUGGCACUCCCAGACGCUGCUUAUCAGCAGUGUGCACAGGCUGUUAAAUGCACCUGGGCCACAAUUCCUGAAGAGGGAGUCCCAGUACAAUCCUUUUUACAUAUCAUGCAAGGGUCACAGGAACCCUAUGUGCAAUUUCUUGCAAGAUCACAAGAGGCAGUUAAGUGUCAGAUUCCUCAUACCGCGGCUGCAGAAGUGCUAACUCUAGCUUUUGAGAAUGCAGAUGUGGAUUGUAAACAUGCACUGGCACCAGUGAGGUGUAUAAAAAACUUGGGAAAUUUUCUCAGAGCUUGUCAAGAUGUGGGAACUGAGCUUCGUCGCUUUGCAAUAUUAGCACAAGCAGUGGCUAACUUAGUAGUUGACAAAUCUAAAAGGAGCCAAGGGUCAAACCCUAAAAUGAGAAAAUGUUAUAAUUGUGGAAAACCUGGACAUUUUAAAAAGGAAUGCCACCAGAUCUCAGGACAGAAGGGACCUUACAAUGCAGUGCCCCACCCAGCAGAAAAAACACCAGGACUUUGUCCUUGCUGUAACAGAGGAAAUAACUGGGCUAAUCAGUGCCGCUCAAAAUUUCAUCAGAAUGGCACUCUCCUGCUGGGAAAUGAGACAGGGGCCUGGACCCAGGCCCCACAAACAAUGAGGGCAUUCCCAGUCCAGACCUCAACCCUGUUUCUGGCAUGGGUUCCCAGAGGCACAUUGAUUCCCUCACCCCAGAAACACAAGGAGUACAGGAUUAGAUCUCCCAGUCAAAGAACGGGUAAUGUUAGUUGGGGCAGACAAACCCAUCAAAGUUCCCACUGGUAUUUGGGGACCAUUACCAGCAGGAUAUGUGGAACUAAUUUAGGCAAAAUCUGCCUUAACUUACAGGGCAUUACUGUCAUCCCAGAAGUUGUUGACUCUGAUUAUGAAGGAGAAAUUCAAGUAGUUUUAAUGUCACAAGAUCUGUGGGGUUUUGAGCUGGGACAAUAUACUGCUCAAUUGUUGCUUAUUCCCUGCAAAUCACACACUUCUCUCCAUGAAAGGAGAAAUGAGAAAAUAAAGAGUUUGGGAGCACAACUACAUGGGAAAUCUAUCUGUCCCAACCCAUAGCCUCUAAUAGACCCACCUGUGUAGUACAAAUUAAAGAAAUUUUAUGGGCUUAUGGAUACGGGAGCUGAUGUGUCAGUAAUAUCUAAAGACAGUUGGCCCCCAUCCUGGCCCUUGGAAUUAACUUCUACAUCCCUAGUGGGAGUAGAAACAGCUCAAAGUGUUCAACAGAGCACUGAGAUUUUACCUUGUCUUGGUCCGGAUGGACAGUCAUGUACUUUUCAGUCUUAUGUUGAAAAUAUAGCUAUCAACUUAUGGGGUUGAGACUUACUUAUAACAUGGAAUAUGAGACUUACAAAUGAAAACUUUGAUAACCCAGGAUUUAAAAUGUUGAAGAACAUGGGAUAUCAGAGGGGAAAAUAUUUAGGAAAAUUUCUUCAAGGAAAUCCUAACCCAAUAUCAGUAACUGGAAAAACAGAUAGAAAAGGGCUAGGACGUCAGGAUUUCUAAUGAGGGUCAUUGAUAUUUCUCCUCUGCCCGCUGCCUUACUAUUAGAAUGGCUCAGUGACAAACCUGUAUGGGUGGAUCAAUGGCCCCUAUCUCAGAAGAACCUGAUGCAACUUCAGCGGCUAGUAAAAGAACAAUGGGAUGCCGGACACAUAACCCUGGAAUUCUCCAGUGUUUGUUAUUCCAAAAAAGUCCGGAAGAUGGCGACUACUCCAUGAUUUAAGAGCUAUUCAUGUACCCAUAAAACUGAUGGGUGCCUUACAAAAACUUUUACCAUUUCCAGCGGCUAUUCCAAGAGACUGGCCUCUUGUAGUAAUAGAUCUGAAGGACUGUUUCUUUACUACACCCUUACAUGAGAAGGAUAAGCCUUGAUGUGCAUUCUCUGUGCCUUCUAUUAAUCAAACAGAACCUGUUUCUCAUUAUCAAUGAAGAGUUUUACCCCAAGGCAUGCUUAACAGUCCUACUCUAUGUCAGCAUUUUGUAGGACAGGCAUUAAAGAAGCCUUGGAAUAUGUUUCCUACUGCUUACAUCAUUCAUUUUAUGGAUGAUAUUCUUUUGGCUGUUCCUACCGAUGAAAACCUACAUCAGUUAUUCAGAGAAACAAAGCAGGCUUUGACUAAAUGGAAUCUCAAAAUAGCUCCAGAAAAGGUACAAACAACUUCCCCAUACCAAUACUUAGGAACUAUUGUUACAGAGAGAGGUGUACGGACUUAGAAAGUAGUUCUCCAUAAAGACACGUUACAGACUGUAAAUGAUUUUCAGCAAUUACUAGGAGAUAUUAAUUGGCCACGACCUAUGUUAGGUAUUGCUACCUAUCAACUUACACUUAUUUACCAAACCCUGCAAGGAGAUUCUUUAAAUUCUUUGCGGCAACUAACUAAAGAGGCAGAAGCCGAAUUACAGCUUGUAGAGCAAAUGUUACAGCAGAGACAUGCCUCAUGGCUACAACCACAAAAACCUUUGCUGUUAUUUAUUCUUCCUACCCCUUACUCCCCAACAGGACUUUUGGGCCAGUUUAUAGACAAGUCUGUAACAGUAAUAGAAUGGUUCUUCCUAUCUAAUCAAACAGUCAAAACCUUGCAAGUUUAUCUUUCUUUAAUUACGCAAAUUGUGACUAUGGGCAUAGAUCAAAAAUGCUUACAGGAUAUGAUCUUGACAAAAUUAUUGUUCCUUUAGACUCUCAGCAACAAGCUGCAGCUUGGGAAAUGUUGACUGCCUGGCAAACUGCUUUCGCAGACUUCAUGGGCGCGAUAGAUAACCACUACCCUCAGACAAAAUUUUACAGUUUUAUAAAAUCUAUUCUUUCAUUCUUCCUGUGAUUACUCAUCACAAACCUAUUCCAGGUGGACAGACUUAUUUUACUGAUGGCUCUCCCAAAGGUCAUGCCGCCGUCUAUGGACCAAAACAUACUCAAAGAAUAAUGAUCUCUGGGAUUUCAGCUCAAUGCUCAGAGCUAAUUGCAGUCAGCUGUGAGGUUUUACAGCUCAAAGCUUCAGAUCCUAUCAACUACAGGGAGCCGAAGGCCCGUGGGACCUGACCAACUCAGCAUUCCACUGGAGGCUAUAUGAUCAAACAGCAAACUGUUUAUCAUGAAUGCAGGAUGUGGGCAAACUCACACUGCCCUGCCACCAAAAGGUUUGUGGAGGGCCUCACUCCCUGGCUCUUUGAAGUUAUCUACUGAGAGUUAUCUAUUGAGAAAUCUAGCGCCUACUGUUUUAAGAAUGCAGUCUUGCAAGCCUGCCGUGAAUCAAGCUGCUAGCCAACAACCACCCCCUACCCCUACUUCUCGUUAUCUCUUUUGCCUGAUAAAUACAGAGGGCUGUGUAACACUCAGGGUCCUGUCCACUAGAGGCAAGCUGCCCCCUGACCGCUUCUUCCAAAUAUACUCUUUUAUCUCUUGUCUUUUAUUCCCACGCUCGCCCACUUUGUUCAGUCCACCAGGGAUUGUGGCAGGCUACAAUCAACAUUGUCAACCAUAAAGACAUGUUACAGACUUUAAAUGAUUUUCAACAAUUAUUAGGAGAUAUUAAUUGGCUACGCCCGAUGUUAGGUAUUGCUACCUAUCAACUUACACAUCUUUACCAAACCCUGCAAGGAGAUUCUUCUUGUUCAGCUUAUGUUGUAAAUUUAGCCAGUCGCAUAGAAACUGCUACAGUUAAAAGUACGCUAGACCCAGAACUGCUUAAUUUGUUUCACUUAUUCUCAUAUGCUGCAUGGUACAUGCCAAACAGGUGAGACAGCUGGUCAUGUACAGCGACAUUGUCUGUCAUCAUUUGCUCAUAUGGGAAUACCUAAACAAUUACAAAUUGACAAUGGACCCGCUUAUACUAGUCAUACUUUUUCAAAAUUUCCUACAGCUUUGGGCUAUAACCCAUAAAACAGGAAUUCCUUAUAAUCCUAGAGGACAAGGCAUUAUAGAAUGGGCACAUCAAACAUUACAACGCAUGUCGAAAAGACAAAAAGGGGGUAUAGGAGGCCAACUACCACCUCAGUCAAAACUACAUUUAGCCUUAUUUACUUUAAAAUUUUUGACUCCUGGUACGGAUGAUAAGACUCCAGCAGAAAGACAUUGGCAAGUGUUAGAGGAAAAGAGGAACGUUUAUCUGAAAGUGUUAUGGAAAUCCCCAGAAGGAGGACAAUGGAAAGGCCCAGUGGAUUUACUGACAUGGGGAAGAGGGUGUGCUUGUGUGUUUACAGGAGAUGGACAAGCCAUGUGGGUGCCCUCAAGUCUGUAAAAUCGGAUGGACUGCCAGUCGGCGAAUGAGAGCUGCCCAGCCUGGCCUUACAUUCUUUCAAUUAAUUCAUAAACAGAAAGGGGGAUAUGCAGGGAGCCAAAGGCCCAUGGGACGUGACCAACUCUGUAUUCCAUUGGAGGCUAUAUGAUCAAACAGCAAACUGUUUAUCAUGAAUACAGGAUGUGAGCAAACUCAUGACUGUGCCUGCCACCAGAAGGUUUGCUGAGGGCAAUCGUUUCCUGGUGCGAAGCUCUUUGAAGUUAUCUACUGAGACAUCCAGAGAAUGCAGUCUUGCAAGCCUACUCUGGACCAACCAACUGACCUCUUCUUCCACCCCCCUUCUCACUAUCUCUUUUGUCUAAUAAAUACAGAGGGCCACGUAAAGCUCAGGGCCUUGUCCACUAGAGGCAAGGUGCCCCCUGACCCCUUCUUCCAAAUGUG
RNA transcript from Symphalangus syndactylus (siamang), 5644 nucleotides. It is a transcript of the gene named formyl peptide receptor 1, with no coding region annotated. NCBI's taxonomy places the organism in Eukaryota, Metazoa, Chordata, Mammalia, Primates, Hylobatidae. The record is from RefSeq and is a predicted model, not a curated record.